This 572-nucleotide small RNA is filed under the name Pongo abelii (Sumatran orangutan). Its description in RNAcentral is "processed transcript". The record is from RNAcentral. Lineage: Eukaryota; Metazoa; Chordata; Mammalia; Primates; Hominidae.
AAAUAGACUAAACUGUGUCAAGCAUGUAUUGAGUGUUUAAAAUCUAAGCAGUCCUAUCUUUCUGCCUAUUGAAAUAUAUCGUGCCUCAGAAAUGGUAGUGCAAUGGAUAGAAAGUAUGUUAACAUAAACUUCCUGUAAAAUUAGUAACUCCAUAGGACAAGCCUUUGGUCAAUCGAACAAGGUGGCUCCAAUUUCUCACUCUGGGCCUGCAAGUAUCUUUACACAUUUCCACAGGCCUAUAGAGUAAGACUGCCACAGAGAUAGUUCAAGGUGACAACGGCUCCUCUGCAGCAGCACAUAGCGGUGCUGCCAGAGACAACAGCAGAUCAAGUAACUACUGAAGAUGAUGGCUACACUUGGACAGCUGAGCGAAGAGAAUAUCCACUUCGUUGGCUUCUGACAUACGCACUGACAGCACAGUUCACCACACAACAAUCACCUCUUCUGGCGUCCCUUUCCCCAGUCGUCACCCGUAGCAUCCAGUUAAGCGGCUCUCCACCUUGCUCAUUUUGGUCUAUCUGGAUUUACACAAAUUCACUGUGCACGUGCCUGGGGCGGGCAAACCCGGAAAG